RNAcentral lists this ribosomal RNA (492 nucleotides) under uncultured bacterium. Its description in RNAcentral is "partial 16S ribosomal RNA". It matches the Rfam family "Bacterial small subunit ribosomal RNA", at positions 29 to 507 of the family's 1533-position model. The record is from RNAcentral.
AGUGAACGCUGGCGGUAGGCCUAACACAUGCAAGUCGAACGGCAGCACAGUAAGAGCUUGCUCUUACGGGUGGCGAGUGGCGGACGGGUGAGGAAUACAUCGGAAUCUACUUUUUCGUGGGGGAUAACGUAGGGAAACUUAUGCUAAUACCGCAUACGACCUACGGGUGAAAGCAGGGGAUCUUCGGACCUUGCGCGAUUGAAUGAGCCGAUGUCGGAUUAGCUAGUUGGCGGGGUAAAGGCCCACCAAGGCGACGAUCCGUAGCUGGUCUGAGAGGAUGAUCAGCCACACUGGAACUGAGACACGGUCCAGACUCCUACGGGAGGCAGCAGUGGGGAAUAUUGGACAAUGGGCGCAAGCCUGAUCCAGCCAUACCGCGUGGGUGAAGAAGGCCUUCGGGUUGUAAAGCCCUUUUGUUGGGAAAGAAAAGCAGCAGGUGAAUACCCCGCUGUUCUGACGGUACCCAAAGAAUAAGCACCGGCUAACUUCGUG